GAGGAGGUGGCCGAGUGGUCCAAGGCGCCGCAAACAAUUCUGUUUACUUUGAUUCCUCUUGGAUUCAAAUUCUGUGGUCUGCUCUCCGAGCAGUCGAGGGUUCGAAUCCCUCCCUCUUCC
This 120-nucleotide transfer RNA is filed under the name Linnemannia gamsii. Its description in RNAcentral is "Mortierella gamsii tRNA". It matches the Rfam family "tRNA". Rfam says of the family: Transfer RNA (tRNA) molecules are approximately 80 nucleotides in length. Their secondary structure includes four short double-helical elements and three loops (D, anti-codon, and T loops). Further hydrogen bonds mediate the characteristic L-shaped molecular structure. tRNAs have two regions of fundamental functional importance: the anti-codon, which is responsible for specific mRNA codon recognition, and the 3' end, to which the tRNAs corresponding amino acid is attached (by aminoacyl-tRNA synthetases). tRNAs cope with the degeneracy of the genetic code in two manners: having more than one tRNA (with a specific anti-codon) for a particular amino acid; and 'wobble' base-pairing, i.e. permitting non-standard base-pairing at the 3rd anti-codon position. Lineage: Eukaryota; Fungi; Mortierellomycota; Mortierellomycetes; Mortierellales; Mortierellaceae. The record is from Rfam by way of RNAcentral.